AUUCUUUAGGACUGCUCUCAAAUAAUUGAAAUGUUACUAAACAAGGUUAUACUUAUCAAAUUAAAUAGCUCUGGUCUCCAGUAUAUUGGCGAAUUCGGUUCUUUGUACUUAAUUUAUUAGCAUGAUUUCUUUUUAAUAUGUUGUGUACAGACUUAAUUACUUCUCUGUCUACUUUUCUUACUCCAUGUAGGUUUCCCAGAGACUAUGGGUUGAGGAGGAAUUGGAAGUUUGUCGGCUUAGACCUGGUGUCAUUCCAUCAGUGUUAAACUUCCCGGCUCAUCUUGGAAGAGUACGUGCCAGAAAGACCACGACCAAGCAGCCUUGAGAUCUUAGACAGCGUCUCCCUGAGGUCCCUCUCUAUCUCCCCACACAUCCACCAACCACUGGAACACAUCUCCAAAGUUCUGCUGGGCCAGCUCAGCUUCCCCUCAGAAGAAGUGCUGCCACCUGCCAGAUGAAGGAGCCUUUUGAGAGGCAGCUGGCAUCGUGAUUGGACUGUACUUUGGUCUGUUCCAAUCCAGCUUCAGCUCCAGAGACGGCAGGCGGGACGAGUCAACGGAGGCUGGGUGGACGAAGGCAUGCAGCUGAGUACAAUCCAGAAAACAACAGAGGAGGAGUGCAGCGACCCAGAGCCAGAACAGAGUAUCAUGACCAAAGAACUACAGACUCUUCACAACCUGCUCAAACUCUUGGUACAGGACCUCACCACACGGGUCAAGAAGGUUUCCAUCUCAUUUCUACUCUGAAGCUCACCUUCUCCUGCUCAAACUACUGACAAAUGUUUCUGCUGCUCUAAAGUCUGGUCUCCAGAACUUCCUAAAAACUCUCAAAGUCUCUUCUGCUGCAGGUUGCUUUGUAGAACUGUUCCAGAAAACCUCACUAAACCACAUGGAGGGGCCUCAAGAUAGUCGUCCAAAUGAAACUGUACAAAAACCAAACUAGUACAACCCAAACGCUAAAGUCUCCUGCAGCCAACAGAGAACCUCUGAGAACAGAGAAUCAGGACAGGAACUCUUACCUUCUGGACAACCAACGUUGGUUCUCAAACAAGAAUACAGAAUGUGUCUGAUCAAAAACCUCUGAAGACUCACUACAGCCAAGAUAAAGACACAACUCAGCUGCAGCAAAUCCACUAAUCACUGCACACAUUAGCACCAUGUGCUAACUGUGGCUAAAGAACCACAUUUACCAAGACAACUAUCCAGUACAAAGCCCUAAAACACACCAAGAAACACAUUAAAGACGAUUUUACUGCUGGAAGCUGCAAGCCAACGCCUAAAGAACACGUAAAGAACGGAGCCAAACCCAUUUCAGUUGGUGAAGAGAAGCAGAGGAAAUGUUUGUCUGCAGCUAAAUAAAGCAGGAAGACACUGAGCUGCUCAGGUGUUCCUGAUAACACCAAGCAGCCACCUGGACAGCCAAUAGGAACACAGCUUACUGGAAGUCCAGAGGGCUGGCUUAGUGAAGGAAAUUUAAUUUAAAGUUGAAGCAGAAAGUUAAUAAAGAAAGUUGAAAACCACCUUCUGAUACCUGAAAUCUCUGAGUUUUCACACAAAGAACACCUGAACAUGUCAAACUGGUUCCAUAGUAGAACCAUCAUUGUAAAAACGUCAUAGUAUGGUGUGUUGCUCAAAAAACAUUAGGACCCGGCUGUCAGGGGACAAACAUGUAAGAAACAUGAGAACAGAGAGAACCCAACCAGUAGGUCACAGUUUAUCAUCCCCCAGUCAUCUCCUGAAGUCCAUAUGGUGAGAGACAUCAGUAUCUGGUUGUUCAUUUACCAGAGGAUGCUUAUAAUCAUGCUGAUGUGGUCUGUACUCUACAGUAUUUUAGUGACUCAAUAAAUGCCUAAGUUGUUUUUUUAAAAA
Amphiprion ocellaris (clown anemonefish) is the source of this 1868-nucleotide long non-coding RNA. RefSeq lists it as uncharacterized. Lineage: Eukaryota; Metazoa; Chordata; Actinopteri; Pomacentridae. The record is from RefSeq and is a predicted model, not a curated record. The transcript is spliced from 3 exons.